RNAcentral lists this ribosomal RNA (465 nucleotides) under Vreelandella stevensii. RNAcentral's name for it is "partial 16S ribosomal RNA". It matches the Rfam family "Bacterial small subunit ribosomal RNA", at positions 338 to 795 of the family's 1533-position model. Lineage: Bacteria; Pseudomonadati; Pseudomonadota; Gammaproteobacteria; Oceanospirillales; Halomonadaceae. The record is from RNAcentral.
CCUACGGGUGGCUGCAGUGGGGAAUAUUGGACAAUGGGCGAAAGCCUGAUCCAGCCAUGCCGCGUGUGUGAAGAAGGCCUUCGGGUUGUAAAGCACUUUCAGUGGGGAAGAAAGCCUUGGGGCUAAUACCCUCGAGGAAGGACAUCACCCACAGAAGAAGCACCGGCUAAAUCCGUGCCAGCAGCCGCGGUAAUACGGAGGGUGCGAGCGUUAAUCGGAAUUACUGGGCGUAAAGCGCGCGUAGGCGGUCUGAUAAGCCGGUUGUGAAAGCCCCGGGCUCAACCUGGGAACGGCAUCCGGAACUGUCAGGCUAGAGUGCAGGAGAGGAAGGUAGAAUUCCCGGUGUAGCGGUGAAAUGCGUAGAGAUCGGGAGGAAUACCAGUGGCGAAGGCGGCCUUCUGGACUGACACUGACGCUGAGGUGCGAAAGCGUGGGUAGCAAACAGGAUUAGAUACCCUUGUAGUC